This 556-nucleotide ribosomal RNA is filed under the name Candida albicans. RNAcentral's name for it is "eukaryotic LSU rRNA". It matches the Rfam family "Eukaryotic large subunit ribosomal RNA", at positions 97 to 667 of the family's 3401-position model. The record is from RNAcentral. Lineage: Eukaryota; Fungi; Ascomycota; Pichiomycetes; Serinales; Debaryomycetaceae.
AGCGGCAAAAGCUCAAAUUUGAAAUCUGGCGUCUUUGGCGUCCGAGUUGUAAUUUGAAGAAGGUAUCUUUGGGCCCGGCUCUUGUCUAUGUUCCUUGGAACAGGACGUCACAGAGGGUGAGAAUCCCGUGCGAUGAGAUGACCCGGGUCUGUGUAAAGUUCCUUCGACGAGUCGAGUUGUUUGGGAAUGCAGCUCUAAGUGGGUGGUAAAUUCCAUCUAAAGCUAAAUAUUGGCGAGAGACCGAUAGCGAACAAGUACAGUGAUGGAAAGAUGAAAAGAACUUUGAAAAGAGAGUGAAAAAGUACGUGAAAUUGUUGAAAGGGAAGGGCUUGAGAUCAGACUUGGUAUUUUGCAUGCUGCUCUCUCGGGGGCGGCCGCUGCGGUUUACCGGGCCAGCAUCGGUUUGGAGCGGCAGGAUAAUGGCGGAGGAAUGUGGCACGGCUUCUGCUGUGUGUUGUAGCCUCUGACGAUACUGCCAGCCUAGACCGAGGACUGCGGUUUUUAACCUAGGAUGUUGGCAUAAUGAUCUUAAGUCGCCCGUCUUGAAACACGGACC